GACCAGAUGCCCUUCAAGUGUCUGUCGCAAAACCCCGUCAGAGGAGGAAUCCAGCAGCGGUAUGCGACUAGAGCUGUGCUUGGGAUUAUCUGGUCCUU
Treponema bryantii is the source of this 98-nucleotide non-coding RNA. Lineage: Bacteria; Pseudomonadati; Spirochaetota; Spirochaetia; Treponematales; Treponemataceae. The record is from Rfam.